GAAGCGAGCCCUGAGAUGAGUCAUCCCUGACCCCUUGAGGGUCCUAAAGGGCCGUUGGAGACCACAACGUUGAUAGGCGGGGUGUGUAAGUGCAGCGAUGCAUUGAGCUAACCCGUACUAAUUACCCGUGAGGCUUAACCAUACAACACCCAAGAAGUGUUCU
RNAcentral lists this ribosomal RNA (163 nucleotides) under Aeromonas salmonicida. Its description in RNAcentral is "partial 23S ribosomal RNA". The stretch from base 1 to 142 matches the Rfam family "Bacterial large subunit ribosomal RNA", at positions 2789 to 2925 of the family's 2925-position model. The record is from RNAcentral. Lineage: Bacteria; Pseudomonadati; Pseudomonadota; Gammaproteobacteria; Aeromonadales; Aeromonadaceae.